RNAcentral lists this RNase P RNA (430 nucleotides) under Ignavibacteriota bacterium. Its description in RNAcentral is "Ignavibacteriae bacterium (groundwater metagenome) RNase P RNA component class A". It matches the Rfam family "Bacterial RNase P class A". From Rfam's summary of the family: Ribonuclease P (RNase P) is a ubiquitous endoribonuclease, found in archaea, bacteria and eukarya as well as chloroplasts and mitochondria. Its best characterised activity is the generation of mature 5'-ends of tRNAs by cleaving the 5'-leader elements of precursor-tRNAs. Lineage: Bacteria; Pseudomonadati; Ignavibacteriota. The record is from RNAcentral.
ACUAUACAUCGCGCAAUCGCGUCCGCCUUUGACGGACGAGGAAAGUCCGAACUCCACAGGACUGAGUACCCUGCGUUAAGUGGGGGUGUUCGUUCCGAAGCAUCGGGACGUGACAACGGAUAGUGUCACAGAAAAAAUACCGUCACGUUUUGUGAAGACUGCGUCAAACGAAACGGGAUAAGGGUGAAAAGGCGAGGUAAGAGCUCACCAGUGGCGUCGUAAGGCGCCAGCUUGACAAACCCUACUCGGAGCAAGACCAUGUAAGUCCCGCUCUCUGCUUUAGACAGAGUGAAGAGUGAUCCGCUCAACUUCUCUCAACAUUGCUGAAGAAAACGGGAUGGGUAGGUCGCACAGAGCAAUGAUUGCGUUUCCGAUUCUCCACUUGUGUCGAAUCGGGAAACAGAAUUCGGCUUAUAGAUGCAUAGCCUUC